Molecule: long non-coding RNA, 720 nt
Organism: Clupea harengus (Atlantic herring)
Lineage: Eukaryota; Metazoa; Chordata; Actinopteri; Clupeiformes; Clupeidae
Source: Ensembl
GGGCCCUGUCUGGGAGGGACAUGAGUCCUGUUGUGUGGAGUGUGUAUGUGUGGAGUGUUGUGGCGAGUGUUGUGUGGAGUGUUUUGUGUGUGUGUGGAGUGUCGUGUGGAGUGUUGUAUGUGUGUGUUGUGUGUGGAGUGUUCUAUGUAGAGUGUUGUGUGUAGAGUGAUGUGUGUGUGGAGUGUUGUGUGAGUGUGUGGAGUGUUGUGUGUGUGAGUGGAGUGUGUGUGAGUGUGUGGAGUGUUUUGUGUGUGUGUGGAGAGUUGUGUGUGUGUGGAGUGUCGUGUGUGUAGUGUUGUGUGUGUGAGUGGAGUGUGUGUGUGUGUGUAUAGAGUGUUGUGUGUGUGUGUGGAGUGUUGUGUGUGUGUAUAGAGUGUUGUGUGUGUGUGUGGAGUGUUGUGUGUGUGUGUUGUGUGAGUGGAGUGUGUGUGUGUGUGUAGUGUUGUGUGUGUGUGUGUGUGUGUGUUGUCGUGUGAGUGUGUGUAGUGUCGUGUGAGUGUGUGUAGUGUUGUGUGUGUGCACUGGGUGCCUGAGCGCCAUACUGGAGACUCAGAUGCUGCACGGAGGGGUCCUGAGGGGUCCUGAGGGGUCCUGAGGGGAGGUGGGCACAUAUUUGGCCGGAUGAAUCACCUCACUCACGUCACACAGAGGAGUGAAAGAACAGAGGAAAGGGAGAAAAAAUGAGGGAGCUGCACUUUACUGCACAGGGCCAUUAUAGCA